Long non-coding RNA from Papaver somniferum (opium poppy), 865 nucleotides. RefSeq lists it as uncharacterized. The transcript has 5 exons. NCBI's taxonomy places the organism in Eukaryota, Viridiplantae, Streptophyta, Magnoliopsida, Ranunculales, Papaveraceae. The record is from RefSeq and is a predicted model, not a curated record.
UCUGGCGACUGGCGAUGAAGAUUCUUGCUAGGUCUUUGAUCGACAUAUCAGUUUUUGCACCUAAGAUUUAGUGCCCUGGAUUUAAUUUUUUUUAUCUCCUUCGAUUGAUGAUUCCAACAACCCAAAAAAAUGGUUGGAGUUUGAAGGGGAUUUUGAUGGGUUGUAGGCUAUCGGGGGAAUCAAGUUUCUGUAUGUACAUAUCUGCAUCUUUUUACUUGCAGAAAAUGUUGUCACAUGGUGCCAUGGCUGGCAGAGCAGGUCGAUUUGGAACUACGGGUUAACAAGCUAUUCUUGAUCGAUUGUCUCAGUCAGUGCAGCGGGUAUGUACUUGAGGUGCAACAGGUAUGUACUCUAAUAAAUUAGUAUAACACCAUUGUUUGGCAGUAUUUCUUUGCAUCUGUUCUGCGGCGGAAGGAAGCUUAUCCGGUCAUUGUGGAUGGAUGGGCACAACGUUGUGAUGGUAUUGAGGACCACAUAGAUUGGCAGAGUUAGGUUUGAUGCGCGGUGGUAAUGUUCAGUUCAUCGAUAUUGUGUACCUCUGCAAUCUCUGUUGUUGAACAUAAGCUCAGGGUGAUGUUCAACAAACAUUCAAGUCCUGAACAUAGAGUUGCUAUACUUGUGCCUGCGAUAAUACCCUUUUGGGGAUUCAUGAUCCAUUAAUGAAGAAUACACCUGAAUCCUUCAAAUUUCAUGUAUUUGUGAGAGGUCUCCGAGUAUAUUCUUAAUUGUAUUAAUUCAAUUUCUACAACAUGUGAUUUGUACUAUCUUAGUCUAUUUUAUAAGUGAUGGAUCAUUGGUUCAGGGUUCAAUGGGCUCAUGUAAUUUUGUUUUCACUUUUAAGAAAAGAGGAUGUAAUUGUAACUGA